This is a long non-coding RNA of Salmo salar (Atlantic salmon), 747 nucleotides long. RefSeq lists it as uncharacterized. Lineage: Eukaryota; Metazoa; Chordata; Actinopteri; Salmoniformes; Salmonidae. The record is from RefSeq and is a predicted model, not a curated record.
GAACUAGUAGAAAGAAACCUUCUGCCAAACUGUGCCAUCGAGUGUGUCAUCAAAAUACGUCCGGCAGGAAACAUCGAUAAAACGUUGAUACUCACCCCUCUACUAACGACUGAAGAACCAAAUGGACUUUCUGUCCCUCGCAAAACCUCCCUGCUGUCACUUAGGAAAGGUGCAGUUAGCUAUUUGGUUAGCUGAGUGUUAACAUUGAGAGGGCUUACCAACAAUCUGACUGUAAUUCUCCUUUACAAGAAAGGAAACACCGUCACCAUGUUGACCACUGCAAAGCGCCUCGCCGACUUCGGAUACCGGGGGUUUUCCGCCUCCAUGAUGCUGUUGACACUCUACGGAGGAUACCUGUGCACCAUGCGGGGAUACCGCUACAUGAACAAGCAGAAAGAGCUGCAGGUAGCUGCAGAAAACCAGGACGUGGAGGCCCUGAAGCCAUAGAGGCCUGGAUGGUUUGUCCACAAAAUCAUGGACAUUUCUAUUCCUCCCAAUAGACUUCAAGUGAUAAUAUUUGGGUAUUGAUCAUGUGAUCAACCGUUUUGUGUAGCUAAAGAAUGAGAAUGUCAUCUGUGUUCAGUCUCUCUCUCUGUCCCCAUGGUCCUGACUUGACCCUUUAGCACACAGAAGAUGCCACCACAGAGAGGGCUGCAGCAGAGAAGAUCUUUCUAAACUACUGGAUUACUUGUUAAGUUAUUAAAUGUCAAAAUUAUCAUAUUAAAUAAAGUUAAAUGUAAAAUCCCU